Molecule: ribosomal RNA, 477 nt
Filed under: uncultured Glomus
Lineage: Eukaryota; Fungi; Glomeromycota; Glomeromycetes; Glomerales; Glomeraceae
Description: SSU rRNA
Rfam family: Eukaryotic small subunit ribosomal RNA
Source: RNAcentral
AGCAGCCGCGGUAAUUCCAGCUCCAAUAGCGUAUAUUAAAGUUGUUGCAGUUAAAAAGCUCGUAGUUGAAUUUCGGGACUAAUAUGUCGGUCGUACUUUGUACGUACUAGCAUUAUUGGUUUCUCCCUUCUGACGAACCACGAUGUCAUUAAUUUGGUGUCAUGGGAAAUCAGGACUGUUACUUUGAAAAAAUUAGAGUGUUUAAAGCAAGCUCGCGCUUGAAUACAUUAGCAUGGAAUAAUGAAAUAGGACGUUUGAUUCUAUUUUGUUGGUUUCUAGGAUCGACGUAAUGAUUAAUAGGGAUAGUUGGGGGCAUUAGUAUUCAAUUGUCAGAGGUGAAAUUCUUGGAUUUAUUGAAGACUAACUACUGCGAAAGCAUUUGCCAAGGAUGUUUUCAUUAAUCAAGAACGAAAGUUAGGGGAUCGAAGACGAUCAGAUACCGUCGUAGUCUUAACCAUAAACUAUGCCGACUAGGGA